This 1206-nucleotide ribosomal RNA is filed under the name Triticum aestivum (bread wheat). Its description in RNAcentral is "partial small subunit ribosomal RNA". The record is from RNAcentral. Lineage: Eukaryota; Viridiplantae; Streptophyta; Magnoliopsida; Poales; Poaceae.
AUGACGCAGAGACCCGCGGCACCGUAUGAGGAAAGCAUCGAGUCUACCGGGCGGCCACAUGAGGACAUCAUCUUCUCGUCUACGUCCUCACAGGUUCUGGCGCAGGUGCUGCGUCGGCUACCAGCCCGUACCCUUGGGCGGCUCAAGUGCGUAUGUCGGACCUGGCGCGCCAUCAUUGAGUCUGGCCGCUUCAUCAGGCUGCACUACGAGCACACAGGCAGGAGCUCCCUUGCCCGUGUUGUCCUCUCCUCCAUGCCUUAUGACUGGCAGUUCGCCUCACUGGAUUCUUGCCUGAACGACCUGAAACUGGCAUGCCAAAUGCAGCAGCUACGUCGCAGGGUGGUGAGUUCGAAGCCCUGCCAUGGCCUCCUCCUCAUAGCCCACGACAGCUAUGGUGUUCACGUGUGCAACCCUGUCACCGGAGCACAGGUUUUCCAUUGCAGUUUGCCUUUUAAGCAGCCAUCAGACGCUGCUGCUGCUCACCCCGGUUGCGUUGGGUUGGGGUACGACCUAUUGAGGGAGGAGCAUAUCAUCGUGGUUCUUGCCUAUAAAUCGCGCAACUUUGACACUGGGAGCUACAGCAUGGAGUGCAGCAUCCGGAGGCUAACGGAUUGCAUGACGAAGAAGGUGGCUCCUUCGCCACCGAUCCCGGUGACCGUCGAUGUGCCACCGGUCUAUGCAGGGGGCAAGAUGUACUGGAUGGGGGAGUCACGAUUCAGUGCGGGCUGCUCAUCAAUUCUUGUGUUUGACAUCUGCAAUGAGUCUUUCGAUGUCCUACCAGCACCACUCACCAUGGGCCACAGUGGUAGGAUGGUCGUGGCGGAGCUCACCGGGCAGGUUCGUGUCGUGCACAUUUGCCCAAAUACAGAGACGAUGACCAUAUGGCGCAAGCAGGAGCCAGUUACACUUAAUGAUGGCCGAGGAUGGACAAGAGAGCACUGGAUACAGCUCGGACAGUGGCCAGACUUCUCACUGAGAACAGAAGCGAGGCUCGUGAUUCCUUUGGCUGUUGACGAUGCCGGACGGAUCUUACUCGACACUGGAAGAGCGCUGGGGUACUAUGACCCAAGAAACCAGACAUUGGAGACCGUAUACCCGACUACUAGCAGCAGUCUGCAGCUUAACUACCGCCCAGGCUUCUUCUUCGCGGUGUUGUGCGAGGACAGCUUAGUUCGUCCAAAUUGUCGGCAACGUCAGUACUUUUGA